Molecule: long non-coding RNA, 687 nt
Organism: Mugil cephalus (flathead mullet)
Lineage: Eukaryota; Metazoa; Chordata; Actinopteri; Mugiliformes; Mugilidae
Exons: 3
Source: RefSeq, a predicted model, not a curated record
AUCUCCAACAGAGUUAACCGUUUCUUUCUUUCUUUCUUUCUUUCUUUCUUUCUUUCUUUCUUUCUUUCUCUGAAGUUCAACAGAAGAGUGAACCAAUGAAGGUCAGAGAGAGAGACAGAAAAACCAAUUUCCAUCCAUUCAUAUGUUUGACUGAUUUCACCGACAUUAAUCUGCUUUUGUUAGAAGAAGAAAAUCCAGACGAAGACUCCAGCUAAGCGGAUUGUGAGCGCCACCCAGAAGAAGAAGAAGACCGACGCCGUUGGACCAACGAAGGCCAAAAAGAAGAUGACGGUUCCAGAGCAGCCGGCAGAAAGACAACUAAAUAAAAUAUGAAUCAGUUCAUCGUCACCACUCAGAAGAAGGAGGAGGCUGUUCAUUCACAAAAUGCUUCAUGAAAGGAGGAAAUAAAUUCAGUUUAAAUUACCUGCUGGGACGUUUUGUUCUAACUGACCAAACAUACCGGUAACGUUAGAGAGAGCUCAUAGCAAUGAGACACAGCAACAGCUAAAGCUAGCUAGCUAACGUGAACUCGCUAGCUAGCUAGCUAACAUUAAGUACCUAGUAAGUAUUAACUAACCAAGGUUAGUUAGGUUCUAAUAUUGCUCAUUUGAUGCUUUGAUAUACAGUGUUGUAUAUAUGAGCUCGGCGUUAGCUAGCUAGCUGUAGCUUUAGCCCCUUCUAGUCUUA